RNAcentral lists this ribosomal RNA (486 nucleotides) under uncultured bacterium. Its description in RNAcentral is "partial 16S ribosomal RNA". It matches the Rfam family "Bacterial small subunit ribosomal RNA", at positions 30 to 507 of the family's 1533-position model. The record is from RNAcentral.
AUUGAACGCUGGCGGCAUGCCUUACACAUGCAAGUCGAACGGCAGCACGGGUGCUUGCACCUGGUGGCGAGUGGCGAACGGGUGAGUAAUACAUCGGAACAUGUCCUGUAGUGGAGGAUAGCCCGGCGAAAGCCGGAUUAAUACCGCAUACGAUCUACAGAUGAAAGCGGGGGACCUUCGGGCCUCGCGCUAUAGGGUUGGCCGAUAGCUGAUUAGCUAGUUGGUGGGGUAAAGGCCUACCAAGGCGACGAUCAGUAGCUGGUCUGAGAGGACGACCAGCCACACUGGGACUGAGACACGGCCCAGACUCCUACGGGAGGCAGCAGUGGGGAAUUUUGGACAAUGGGCGAAAGCCUGAUCCAGCAAUGCCGCGUGUGUGAAGAAGGCCUUCGGGUUGUAAAGCACUUUUGUCCGGAAAGAAAUCCUUGGCUCUAAUACAGUCGGGGGAUGACGGUACCGGAAGAAUAAGCACCGGCUAACUACGUG